Molecule: ribosomal RNA, 354 nt
Filed under: uncultured Nitrospinaceae bacterium
Lineage: Bacteria; Pseudomonadati; Nitrospinota; Nitrospinia; Nitrospinales; Nitrospinaceae
Description: bacterial SSU rRNA
Rfam family: Bacterial small subunit ribosomal RNA
Source: RNAcentral
UACGGAGGGGGCAAGCGUUGUUCGGAAUUAUUGGGCGUAAAGAGUAUGUAGGCGGUUAGAUAAGUCAGGUGUGUAAGCCCAGGGCUCAACCCUGGAAUUGCAUUUGAAACUGUUUAACUUGAGUUCAGGAGAGGAAAGCGGAAUUCCCAGUGUAGCGGUGAAAUGCAUUGAUAUUGGGAAGAACAUCGGUGGCGAAGGCGGCUUUCUGGUCUGAUACUGACGCUGAGAUACGAAAGCUAGGGGAGCGAACGGGAUUAGAUACCCCGGUAGUCCUAGCUGUAAACGAUGGGUACUAGGUGUAGGAGGUAUCGAUCCCUCCUGUGUCGCAGCUAACGCAUUAAGUACCCCGCCUGG